CAGUAGCCGCGGGAAUACGUAGGUGGCAAGCGUUGUCCGGAAUUAUUGGGCGUAAAGGGCUCGCAGGCGGUUUCUUAAGUCUGAUGUGAAAGCCCCCGGCUCAACCGGGGAGGGUCAUUGGAAACUGGGAAACUUGAGUGCAGAAGAGGAGAGUGGAAUUCCACGUGUAGCGGUGAAAUGCGUAGAGAUGUGGAGGAAUACCAGUGGCGAAGGCGACUCUCUGGUCUGUAACUGACGCUGAGGAGCGAAAGCGUGGGGAGCGAACAGGAUUAGAUACCCCUGUAGUCCCUAUCUCUUAUAC
Molecule: ribosomal RNA, 301 nt
Filed under: uncultured bacterium
Lineage: Bacteria
Description: partial 16S ribosomal RNA
Rfam family: Bacterial small subunit ribosomal RNA
Source: RNAcentral